AGAGGCAGCAAGAAAAAUGAGGGACUUUCAGGGGCAGCUGUGUUUUACUAACCCAGUCAUAAUGCCCCUAAAAAUCCUUAUUGUUCUUGCAAUGUUCAA
Molecule: microRNA precursor, 99 nt
Organism: Terrapene triunguis (Three-toed box turtle)
Lineage: Eukaryota; Metazoa; Chordata; Testudines; Emydidae
Source: Ensembl